This 153-nucleotide unclassified non-coding RNA is filed under the name soil metagenome. Its description in RNAcentral is "partial internal transcribed spacer 1". The record is from RNAcentral.
GUGAUUAAAUCGAGCGUGUCUUCAUUGACCGCUCACCCUUCUCACCAUCCACAUACACCUGUGCACUGUUUAGCCUGAGCCGGUUUUCCGGUCCAGGUUAUCGUUUCAUACAAACUCUAGUCUUAUGAAUGUAAACGUUUUAAUAACAUAAUA